RNAcentral lists this ribosomal RNA (701 nucleotides) under uncultured Streptococcus sp. Its description in RNAcentral is "bacterial SSU rRNA". The stretch from base 213 to 701 matches the Rfam family "Bacterial small subunit ribosomal RNA", at positions 1 to 776 of the family's 1533-position model. The record is from RNAcentral. Lineage: Bacteria; Bacillati; Bacillota; Bacilli; Lactobacillales; Streptococcaceae.
CAUUCUCACACCCACACCACAUCAACAUACCACCAUCACCGACACCCUCACAACCAGCACAUUACAUAGCAAAACACCACGACACACGGGAGCAACACACACACAAUUUAAAGAAGCAUUCAAAUAAUAUCAAACACAUACAGAACCCCAUACACAAGACGUAAGCUUACAUUCAUCAUGAACAAACGGCUCACCAACACCACAUCCAAAGCAAUUACAAGAGGAAAGAUCCCCCACCUCAGAACAACAAACGGUCCAAAACCAUUCAGGAGGCACCCACCAAGGAACAUCCGUCAAGGACGAGAAUCCAACCCCCCCAAGUAGCGUGCAGGCUGACGGCCAUCUGGCCAUAAACAGCUUUUCUUCAGGACUCAUCGCCAUUAAGUGUAAUGUUUUGCAAGUACCAUUCAAUAAGGACCGGCUAAUUCCGUGCCAGCAGCCGCGGUAAUACGGAAGGUCCGGGCGUUAUCCGGAUUUAUUGGGUUUAAAGGGAGUGUAGGCGGUUGGUUAAGCGUGUUGUGAAAUGUAGAUGCUCAACAUCUGACUUGCAGCGCGAACUGGCUGACUUGAGUACACACAACGUAGGCGGAAUUCAUGGUGUAGCGGUGAAAUGCUUAGAUAUCAUGAAGAACUCCGAUUGCGAAGGCAGCUUACGGGAGUGUUACUGACGCUUAAGCUCGAAGGUGCGGGUAUCGAACAGG